RNAcentral lists this small RNA (214 nucleotides) under Streptomyces sp. F-1. Its description in RNAcentral is "Actinobacteria sRNA Ms_IGR-5". It matches the Rfam family "Actinobacteria sRNA Ms_IGR-5". Lineage: Bacteria; Bacillati; Actinomycetota; Actinomycetes; Kitasatosporales; Streptomycetaceae. The record is from Rfam by way of RNAcentral.
ACACGAGAAGGGAGGUGGUUCGGCAGAUGUAUGAGAACCGGACGCGUGAGGUGGCUGCGGGCUAGCGGCUCGUCACCACACUCUGUGCGGUGCCGGACCAGCACGUGAACGACGCGUGCAGCCGGCCCAAUCCCAAGCAGUCACCCGACCCGCGGGCUGCCGGUACGUCCGGCCGGCUCCUCCCCGGAGGAACCCAGCCCGCGGGUCGUCUGCG